RNAcentral lists this ribosomal RNA (516 nucleotides) under uncultured bacterium. RNAcentral's name for it is "bacterial SSU rRNA". It matches the Rfam family "Bacterial small subunit ribosomal RNA", at positions 387 to 919 of the family's 1533-position model. The record is from RNAcentral.
CGCAGCACGCCGCGUGUGGGAUGACGGCUUUCGGGUUGUAAACCACUUUCAGUGAUGACGAAAAUGACGGUAAUCACAGAAGAAGGUCCGGCCAACUACGUGCCAGCAGCCGCGGUAACACGUAGGGACCAAGCGUUGUCCGGAUUUAUUGGGCGUAAAGAGCUCGUAGGCGGUUGUGUAAGUCGGAUGUGAAAACUCAGGGCUCAACCCUGAGACGCCAUCUGAUACUGCACUGACUAGAGUCCGGUAGGGGAGCAUGGAAUUCCUGGUGUAGCGGUGGAAUGCGCAGAUAUCAGGAGGAACACCAAUGGCGAAGGCAGUGCUCUGGGCCGGUACUGACGCUGAGGAGCGAAAGCAUGGGGAGCAAACAGGAUUAGAUACCCUGGUAGUCCAUGCCGUAAACGUUGGGCACUAGGUGUGGGGUCUUCUAACGGAUUCCGUGCCGUAGCUAACGCAUUAANUGCCCCGCCUGGGGAGUACGGCCGCAAGGCUAAAACUCAAAGGAAUUGACGGGGG